UUCCAGAGUACGGCCAGACACGUGAAACCUGGUCGGAAGAUGGGGGGACCACCCUCCAACCCUAAAUACUACCCAGUGACCGAUAGCGUAUAGUACUGUGAAGGAAAGGUGAAAAGCACCCCGGGAGGGGAGUGAAAAAGAACCUGAAACCCUGUGCCUACAAGCACCUAGAGCACGUCAAAGUGUGAUAGGGUACUUUUUGUAGAACGGUCCGGCGAGCGAUUGUAUGCAGCAAGGUUAAGGACUUAAGGUCUGGAGCCGAAGCGAAAGCGAGUUUGAAAAGGGCGUUAAGUUGCAUAUAAUGGGCCCGAAACCGGGUGACCUACCCAUGGUCAGGUUGAAGUGGAAGUAAAAUUCCAUGGAGGACCGAACCGACCUCCGUUGAAAAGGCGGCGGAUGAACUGUGGGUAGCGGAGAAAUUCCAAUCGAACCCGGAGAUAGCUGGUUCUCCCCGAAAUAGUUUUAGGACUAGCCUCAAGUUAGAUACCUGGAGGUAAAGCACUGAAUAGCCUAGCGGCCGAGAGGUUAGCGAAGCUUAUCAAACUCAGAAUGCCAGAGUAUUGAUGCUUGGGAGUCAGACAGUGUCAGAUAAAUGUCAUUGUCAAAAGGGAAACAGCCCAGAUCUACAGCUAAGGUCCCAAAGUCAGGUUAAGUGGAAAACGAUGUGAAGAUACGCAGACAACCAGGAUGUUGGCUCAGAAGCAGCCACUCAUUCAAAGAGUGCGUAAUAGCUCACUGGUCGAGCGUCUUUGCGCGGAGAAUUUAACGGGGCUAAACCUGACACCGAAGCUUAGGCAAUCCAGUAAUGGAUUGGGUAGGGGAGCGUUGUAUAUGCGGAGAAACAGUAGCGUAAGCGGCUGUGGAGUGUAUAGAAGUGAGAAUGCCGGAAUGAGUAGCGCGAAUGCAGUGAGAAUCUGCAUGGCCGAAAGCCUCAGGUUUUUGGAGGAAGGUUCGUCCGCUCCAAGUUAGUCGGGAGCUAAGGUGAGGCCGGAAGGCGUAGCCGAUGCACAGACGGUAGAGAUUCCGUCACCACCAAAAGAGUUAAGCACAGGGACACAUUUGAAGUCUCAGAGCCGGGUGUUGGUUCCGGUAGAGAUCGAGGGAA
This 1105-nucleotide ribosomal RNA is filed under the name Faecalibacterium prausnitzii. RNAcentral describes it as "partial 23S ribosomal RNA". It matches the Rfam family "Bacterial large subunit ribosomal RNA", at positions 405 to 1525 of the family's 2925-position model. Lineage: Bacteria; Bacillati; Bacillota; Clostridia; Eubacteriales; Oscillospiraceae. The record is from RNAcentral.